AGCGCGCAUCAAGAGCGGAUCAUCUCCGCGCCAACCUGCCUUCCCCGGCAAGGUGGCGGCUCAUCAAAGAGCGAUGCGGCCGAUGUCCGGCAACGAAACGGGAUCUA
Molecule: non-coding RNA, 107 nt
Filed under: Asticcacaulis benevestitus
Lineage: Bacteria; Pseudomonadati; Pseudomonadota; Alphaproteobacteria; Caulobacterales; Caulobacteraceae
Also listed under: 1 other name
Description: SAM-I-IV sequence
Rfam family: SAM-I/IV (S-adenosyl methionine) riboswitch aptamer
About the family: It is found upstream of a number of genes which code for proteins involved in methionine or cysteine biosynthesis. It has been found mostly in the order Actinomycetales.
Source: RNAcentral